UGUUAAAAAUUCAUCCAUUAAUGUUAUUAAAAACUAACGUGGUUGACAGAAUAACCAGAGAGUGACACGUGGCGUGCUAUGUGUACCUGAUGUUAAUGUAUAAGGACUAGUUUUUAACUGUAAAAAUGGAUGAAAUUUUUAACA
Molecule: non-coding RNA, 144 nt
Organism: Gossypium arboreum
Lineage: Eukaryota; Viridiplantae; Streptophyta; Magnoliopsida; Malvales; Malvaceae
Source: Rfam